RNAcentral lists this transfer RNA (31 nucleotides) under Wakarumbia grisea. RNAcentral's name for it is "partial tRNA-Ser". Lineage: Eukaryota; Metazoa; Arthropoda; Insecta; Coleoptera; Lycidae. The record is from RNAcentral.
AACUUUUUAAAAAGCAUUAAUUUGUUUAUGU